Prosopis cineraria is the source of this 3173-nucleotide RNA transcript. It is a transcript of the gene named receptor-like protein kinase ANXUR2, with no coding region annotated. The record is from RefSeq and is a predicted model, not a curated record. The transcript has 4 exons. Lineage: Eukaryota; Viridiplantae; Streptophyta; Magnoliopsida; Fabales; Fabaceae.
UCCUGCCAAACAACAACAUCAUCAAAUUUCGUUUUCUUUGAGAGUUUGCUUCUGUGAAGAUUCUUCCAAAAGCCCACUAAUCCUAUUGAAGCCAAGGAAAUCUAGUUCUCUCUAGCAAAGAUAGAUAUCCAGUUAAGAGCUGCUCGAGUAACAUAAGAGUCCAGCUAUUCUGAUACACGUGCACAGCAAUUGGACAAUUUAAAAAAAUCAGAACUAAUAGCUGUGGGCGGAGAUUUUACUAGAGCUGUUUGCCUGAUAACAUCUGAAUAUUGAAGCCACGCAUUGAGAUCUGAAAUGAGUCCUUCAGGGUUCAGGUCUAAAGCCUUAUGUGAAGCCAGAUUUCUUUUCCAUCAGAUCAGGUUGACUAAGGCCGCGACAGUUCCAGCAAAUGAUCCUUAUGCACCCUGGGAAGCUUUUCACAGGCAGCUUCCUGAGCCUCUGCUGGAAUAGACAGACCAGGCGGACUUGAAGGUUCCAAAUUCAAGUUGAAAGCCUCCAAGAGAGAGGAGUUGUUUAGAUAAGGUAGUGGAUCCUGGAAUGAUGGAGCAGUCUCACAAUUCUGAGUAGGUGCCAGAGCUUGAUCAGCAAUAGGAGCAGUAACUUGAUCCAAGGAAGUAUAAAUUGCUGAGCUGACAUCUAGAACAUAAGAAAAAUAAAUAAGCCAAUGUGGUCCAUCCAUAAUUGCAGUAGGUGAGAACGCAAAUCCUCCAUGCUCACUCAAAUCAUAAAACAGUAUAUUACUAGUUUGAAAUGCCUUUUCAAAGAGUUCAUAGUUCAGAGGCCGAAACCAAUCUUAAACCGACCAUAAUUGUCACAGUUAUUCCUCCAACUGUUAACUAACACCAAAGGAAUUGGGGGUUUGUUGUCCAGCAAAAACCAUUUGGAAGAUUUUAUGAAAUGAGGAUCAGAACCAGAGUGGAUAAUACUUUUUAAAAAUCAGGUGGUAUCUCAACCCUCUUACCCAAAUUAGAGAAAAUGCGCCUAGCGAAUUCAUCAACUUCGGCUUUAAGAGAAUCCAGACUAUCAUUCAACCUUCUUUUUUUAUUAAUUCUGUACCCAAAGUAAUCAUAUUUCCAAAUUGGCAAGGCAGACCAACCUCCAAGCUCCUUUGAUCGAAAAUUGGAGCAACAUCAACUAGAUGGUUUACAUCUGCUUCCCUCUUCCGACAAACUUCCUUCAUCACCAACGUUUCUUCAAGAGGAUUUCUAGCAUCUGUAAAGAGAGGUUGAGUCUCAGGCUGUGGAAGUUUCUCUGGAUUGGGUAGAGGGCUACCCUCCUCAAUAUUAGAUCUCGCAUUGUCAGAUUUGGAUAGAAAAGAGGCAUAUUGAUCUUGAAUAACCACAAAAUCCUCAUCCAACAUUUCAUUCACCAUGGUAUUAAUUUGAGAUCAAUCAUCGGGUGGAACUGCAGCUGAAAAAGGCUGAUUAUCCUGUUGCGAAAAAGUUGGCUCAGCCAUUUCCUCAUGAGGGAGGCCUCCCUGAUUUUCUGAAUCUGAAGAGUCUUCAUCAUCUAGGUGAAAGAAAAGAUGAUUAGGACCAGCAUCAUUGAUGAGGACAUGUUCUGGAAGAGUUUCAUAGAUUCUAUAUCCUGGCCUUGCAUGUCUGAAAAAGCGAAUCCUAGAAGUGCCUCUCUGCCGGUUGUUCCUGAUCCAUUCAUGCCAAUCACUUGCUAGGGGGCCUCAGUCAAAGAAACAUUGGAAAUGAUUACUGAACCUUCUGACUGUUCUUGCAUGUACCCAGUUGAAACCGUGGAAGGCCUGAUGCACUGUUCUAGGACAUUCUUGCUGAGUGUGACCAAUGAUCCGAUAGAAAUGACAAUGUCUAAAGAUUUUUUCAUAAAUGCAUUCAACUUCAAAGGAAAUCCCUGAGUCAAGGUUGACUCUAAUACGUUGAAUAAGUGGUAAGCGGGGAUUAAUCAAAACUCGGACUCUAAGAAAGUUCAGAGAACUUGAAUAAUCAGUAUGAUCAUGAAGGAAAACCGUUUCGCCCACUAUGUCUCCUAAGGUAUUAGCCACCAUCUCAUUGUGGUACUCCAGAGGAAUGGCCCAGAAUUGGACCCAGAUGGGGAAAUAACCGACAACUCACUCACUUAAAUGCAUGUUGGGACACCAGUGGUCAGCUACAAGCGGAGAGUUUUGAAUGGACCAAGGCCCAUUAUCCAUAACAAAAUUUCUGUCCUCCUGAUUAUUGAAGCUGAUCAGAAAGAAGCAACUAAUCCUCCCCUCAGUUCUAAAACUGUCUUGAAGUAACCAAGCCCUCCUAAGCUUUCUUGAAAGAGAUCUCAACGAGUACAUAUGAGCAUCUAUCACCACAACAAUAGGCACAAGAGGCCAGAGAGAAACUCGGUCGAGCAAAAGCAUGAGGCCUAAAACGCAGUGAAGGCUGAAAAAUGCGAGCCACCAUAGACGGGAGAAAUAAUCCAGGAGUAAAGAAGAGUACGAGAGAAAAAGGCGAAAGCUUGACUAGAAAUUUGGAGAAACAGAGGAGAUAAGCAGAGGCGAGAAAGCAUAAGCGAAAGGCGUGAUGAAAAGAAGGAGACUUGACCUCCCUUAAAUAAGCAGAGCCUCAUAACUUCAGAAUCUGAAACGAUCACUUCCGAAAGAAGAUAGAAUACCAAAAACUGUCAAUGAAGCACUAAAGCAUCUAUGAUCAGUAGUUCAGAGCACGAGCUGAGCAUAAUAAAUGAAGAUCUGAAAAAAAACAACAAAAUCUAGGAGAAAAAGAACACAAAUCAAGUAACCAGAAACCAAAAAAAAAAAAAACAAAGAAAGAAAGAGAGAAAGAAAGAAAGAGCUUAUUGGUGCAGGGAGCAGAGCCGAAAUAAUUAGAGACCAGAUUCAAGAACCACACAAAAGUAGCACCAAUGAGAAAAGGGAAGAAAGUAGAAACUGAGCCCAAAUGAUUAAGGCUAGAAGAACCAGGAAAAUAAAGGCAAGUAGGCAAGGAGAAGAACACCAGUGUGAAAAAAAGUGACAAAAAGAGGAAGCAAGGAAGACAAAGGGCACUCAAAAAGGAGUGUUCUCAUAGAGAAGGCAGGGUUUCUCUCACUAGGAGAGUAUUGAGUUCAUUCAUCUAGGAUUCAAUAUAUUUAUUGCAUUUGAAAUUUGAGUCUUGAACAAGAUGAUGAAUACACGUGGUCUGGUAAUUAAACUGACCAAAAGCAAAACUUCAGUA